Molecule: RNA transcript, 2070 nt
Organism: Talpa occidentalis (Iberian mole)
Lineage: Eukaryota; Metazoa; Chordata; Mammalia; Eulipotyphla; Talpidae
Gene: LAT2
Gene name: linker for activation of T cells family member 2
Exons: 11
Source: RefSeq, a predicted model, not a curated record
UCCACCAUCUUAGUGGUAGCUUCCAUUCCAUUCAUAGUCUAAAAUGGCACCUGGAGCUCCAGCCCUCUUCUCCACAUUCCAGGCAGUAGGAAAAAAAGAAGGGAGGGCCGAAAGGCUGUACCCCAGUUGGAAAUGUCCUUUCAGUUGUCCUGGACUUCCCAAAAGCCUUGACUUGCAUGUCAUUGACCAGAGGCUAAUCGCACGGGCACACUUAGUGCAGGGGAGACUGGGAAAUACAAUAUUUUAGGUGGCUGCACGUGGCUACCUAAAAGCCAGGGUUCUGUUUCAAAGGAAGAAGGGAUAAGGCUGUGCCUGCACACCUUGAAGUUGCCACGGCAGUUAUUUGGGAGCGAACAGUGUAUUUGAUCAUUUCAGGAGGGGCACCCUUUUUCACUCCUGGUUGAGUCACCCCUGAGUCCCUGAGCAGCCAACAUUGAGGCCCCAGAAUCUCAGGGCCGUCUCUCCAGUUCUGAUCACAGACUCUCUGGACCUUCUCUGGGCUUGUCGGGGUGUGGGUCUGAUGGCGGUGGCUGGCGCCCAGAGCCCAGGGAGCACAGUGGGAACCCCAUGGGGAGAGUGGGGAGCAGCAGAGAAUGGAGGCACCAGGGGCCCUGGAGUUGCAACCCCGGGUGGCGGUUCCUCUUCGCUCUGGUCUGCCCCUCCCUGCUCUGCUCCUCGUCCCGUCUGUCUUUCUGUCCCUCUGUCUCUUGGGCUGUGGGAGGCCAGGUUCUGGCUCAGCACAGCCCCAUGUGUUUCCAGGCAGGAGAAUCAACAGAGCUUUGCCGUGGCCGGGACCUACUCCCUGGUCAGGCAGGCUUAUCCCGGGUCCCUGAUGGACAUGGUCCCUGAUGCAGAAUCUGCAAGGAAGGAAAAGCUGCUGUUCUCCCCCAGCCUUGAGGGAUCUGAGUCUCCCAGGUACCAGAACUUCCGCAAAGGAAGCCGACUUGGGUCAGAUGCCGCUUAUGUAGAACCCAUUGCCAUGGACUAUUACAACUGGGGGCAGUGCCGGAAGGCCCUGGAAGAUGAUGACGACACCAAUUCCUACGAGAAUGUGCUCAUCUGCCAGCAAAGCCCUGACUCAGAUGAGGGGUCUGACGAUUACCAGAACUCAUCAUCCAUCCUUCAGUGGCGGAAGUCCAGGAAGGUCGCAGAGCAAGUCCGGAGAGAAACAUGUGCCUCUCCAGAAAGCCCAGAUGAGGACGGGGAGCCUGAUUAUGUGAACGGGGAUGUGUCAGCCCAGAAGGCCUAGGGAAGCCCUGGGAAGAAGGCUUGGUGAGGUGACAGAAUCUCCAUUGGAGGUGUGCCAGGCAAGGGAGGCUGGAGCCAAGGGGCACCCCAGUGCACAGGACUACUGUGCGCUCUUUCCACCGCUACUCCUGGGGGUGCACUAAUACCACCCGAGGACCACCCACUGGCCACGCGGACCCAGCCCAGGGAAGAACAAUUACUGGGGAUGCCCUCUGGCAUGGCCUCUGAGGGACAGGGCAGGAGCCUGGCGAUCAGAUGCCUGGGACUGCGGGAAGGUCGUGUCCCAUCCCCCACCUACAACACUGGAAUUCGUUUCUUUUGCUUUGGAUUUGGAUCCGAAAUUGCUUACUAAUGUCGACUGCAGUCGCCAGAAUUAUUUUCUGAUAAGCUUGUACAGUUAAUUUAUAUAGAUGGAGUCAUAUUUAAUAGUCUAAAUUUCAGGGUAAGAGAUGGCCUUGUCUCCUGUAAGCAUUACAUGUACUUCGUCAGAAGACUCUAGGGGGCGCCCUGGCACUCCUUCCUUUGGCCUCAGGAAGAUGAGGCUGCAGCCAGCCACCCUCACCACCCUAUGGUGGGACCAGGUGCCAUGGACAGUGUCUGUCCUUAGAAAGAACAGGCUAAGGACAGGCAUUGUGGAGGGGGCGGCUCCGCAGGUGCCUGAAAUCCUUCUCUGCUCCAGUGCUGCCCUCAGCUGAGCUCACUGGGCAGGAGUCCAACUGGCUCUCGGGAAGGAGCCCAAAGGGAUCUUCCAAGUUAGAAAGUCAGUCAGGGACAAAAAUGCUUUCUUCUACCAAAACAUCUCAAUAAAUCAUUUUAGUUUAA